GCCUAGGUGGCUCAGUGGUUGAGCACCUGCCUUUGGCUCAGGAUGUGAUCCUGGGUG
Non-coding RNA from Canis lupus familiaris (dog), 57 nucleotides. Lineage: Eukaryota; Metazoa; Chordata; Mammalia; Carnivora; Canidae. The record is from Rfam.